Molecule: long non-coding RNA, 3556 nt
Organism: Dromiciops gliroides (monito del monte)
Lineage: Eukaryota; Metazoa; Chordata; Mammalia; Microbiotheria; Microbiotheriidae
Exons: 2
Source: RefSeq, a predicted model, not a curated record
UCAAGGUGCAGAAAGAAGCAUACGCUUAUUUCAGACAAAGACGAGGGAGGCUGCUCGAUGAUGCCUAUUUGCCGCAAAGAUUUUGUUUGGGGGGAAAGACUUAUAGAAGGAGGGGGGAGUUUCCUCAAGUUUUUUGGUGGGGGAAAAAGAGGGUUCCUCAAGCUUUUUUAAAAAGCAUGGAAAAAGCCAGAAGGAAACACCAACAAGCAGGCCAGGCUUUGAAAGUCCUGGGUUGAACUGAAUAUGUUUAAAGGAAAGCAAGGUGUGGAUAAGAGACUCAAAGCUUUGGGCACAGCUCUCUCUUCCUGUUCUACAAUGCCCCUUUUAUGGGGGGUUUGCAAGGUUUAGCCCUUAUCUUGUUCAAGAUCCCUGGAAUAAAGGGCCAGGGCCAGGUGGGUCCUCCAGCCAACCGUGCCUGUGAGUCAGAAGCCAGGCUGUGGAGAUGGAAUUCUUCACGUGUUGGUGGAUGGUGAGGCAGAACACUUGGGAGACUCUGGAUCUCUUAAGAGGCUCUGCAACAUUCUGGGCUUGGAUGCAGGCGCGACAACGCCACCCACAAACAAGAACCAAGGUGCUCCGGCUGUGAGUGAAAAUCAAGAUGAUGUGUUUUUUUCCAAACAAGUUCCAUGGACCACAGGCUAAGAAACGUUAUGCUAGGUGACUGCCGAGGAUACAAAGAAGGGCAAACACCAGGCCUGGCCCUCAAGGAGCAGACAUUCAAACCUCUUCAUCCUUAAAUGCCCUUAGGAUCACAUGACCUAGUCUGAAUCUUUGCUACGGAUUUUGUACAUUUUUUUCCCCGUCUAUCACUUCUCAACGUUUUAGGAAGUAUGACCUCUUAUAAUCCUCUGCCAUUUCGGUGGUAUUAUUGGUGUUCACUAUGCAACGCACCUUGAAGAAAGCAUUCAUGAGAUUCCACUGGAGGGAAAAUACCACAAAGGAAGUCAGAGAAAGAAAUGUGCCACACCAGCCAAAAUAUUCAGAGUUCCACUUUCUGUGGCAGCAAAAAACUAGAAAGUCAGUGGCCACUAAACAGAGGCUGACUGAACUGUGGGGUGUGAAUGUUAAGAAAUACUACUGAAGGAUAAGAAAUGACAAAUAUGUGACAACCAAAGAAGCAUGGGAAGACUUGUAUGAACAGAUACAGAGUAAAAGAAGCAGAACCAGAAACACAAAUGACACAACAUCUAGAAAAAAAGCAAAUGAAAAGAACACUAAAAUAAGCCCAAAUGUUAUGCAAUUAUAAUGACCAGUCUUGGGUCCAGAGAAGAGACGAUGAAAUACACCUCUCCCUCACCCUACCCCCGUCUCUGACAGGUACAGGGGGAAAUGGGUGUGGAAUUUUAUAAAUACUAUCAAGUAUGGUCAUAGAUUGAUGUUAACUGGUUUUCUUUGUUAUAGAAAAAGCCUCAUUUGGGAAUAAGCAUUCAUGUAGUGCCUACUGUGUGCCUGGUACUAUGCUAAAUGCUUUACUAAUAUCUCACUCGAUCCUCACAACAACCCUAGUGUGUGUGAGGUCAGAUGUGAACUCAGUUCUUCCUGACUCCAGGCCCAGGGUUCAACCCACCGCACCAUCAGCAGCUUUAAGGAGCAUGUACAUAUGGAAAUGAUUUCCAAAUCAAAAGGUAUCAAUAAUGCUUUGGUUUUGGUUUUGGUUUUUUUUGCAGGGCAACGAGGAUUAAGUGACUUGCCCAGGGUCACAUAGCUAGUAAGUGUCAAGUGUCUGAGGCCAGAUUUGAACUCAGGUCCUCCUGAAUCCAAGGCCAGUGCUUUAUCCACUGUGCCACCUAGCUGCCCCCUCAAUAAAACUUUUUGAAAAGAAAAAGGAGGCAUUUUAGCAUGAGGCUUCUAUGUGAUCUACAAGCCUGUGGCCUGUCAUUUUUUCAUCCUAAAUCAUGUUCUCCCAAACAUUUUUCACCGUCCCCUGCUCUGUGCACCCCUGCUUUAAAGUCCCUGAAUACUAAAGCAUAAUUGCUGAUUCACUUGGGAGGGGUUUUCUCAGUUCUCCCUUCCCCACCCUGUCAUUGAUGCUGGUAUACAAACUGCUAUCACUGCUAUUGCUUUAAUUGUCAGGGGAGGGGACACUCAUGGCAAAUGCAUAUGAAAAGCAUGGACUGACCAAAGGAUCAACUAACUGCCCUUUGACGCUUCUUGUUGCUGUUGGAAACACAUUGAAAGCAGCUCAUUCCUUUGCCAGCUGCCAGCUGCCAGCCACACUUCUAUUUGUCUUCUGGUCUGCCAGUGAGCAGGUGAGGAUGGGCAGGGCCCUUUCCUCCAGGGCCAUCCUCUCACUCACCGGUCCCGGCACAAGGGUCUCCCGUUUAAACUACCACACAGUCUAAUACCGUGACUCUGGCCCCUCUUCCACCACUGUCCCCAACACUACAGAAGCCAAAGGGGGCCCUGCAGGGCCAUGGGCUACUGGACAUCUUCCCACCAAACAGUGAGCUCCACUAGGGUCUCAUCCCUAUGUCCCCCAGCACCUAGCCCGGGCUCUGUGCACUGGAGACGCUCAACAGAUCCUGGGGGAAGGAACAAAGAAUGCACGACUACUGAUCAACGGAAGCUGAGAAAAAGCCCCGAGAUGAGGCACAGCACCUUCCUGUUCAAAGGCUGAAGACUAUGUUGGCAAGGUCUAGAGGGGCCUAAGAGGCCAAAUACCUUUAAGUACCAACUUUUAAGACACAUCAAGAACCUAACCCUUGUUUACAGGCUUGUGUCUCAGCAAAGUCACGCUGUGGGAGGUCCCUGCUCUAUACCCCAAACACCCCUGAGCCCUUAAAUUGGCCGUCCUGGUCCAUUCCUGGAAAGCUGGUAGUGAGUGCCCCCUGGUGGCAGGCUACGGGACCUGAUCCACAUCUGCUCCCUUCCUCUGCAGCCUCCUCUCCCAAGGACAGACUGCGAUGUUCUGCUCCCGAGUUCCUGGGUUACGUUCUCGCCUCCUCCCAGAAGACUGUGCAGUCAGCUCCUAAGCAUCCCUCCCUCCACAAGCCCUGUGCUCCAGCCAAACUCAAGCAGGACUCACUACCUCCCUUCCCCCAUUCUCCUGACCUGGCACGGCCACCUCCCCAUCUUUUCAACAAAUCCAGCAUACCCUUCCAUCCCCAACUCAUAUCCUACUUACUACCUCCUCCAGGAAACCUUCCCUGACUCUGCCAGCUCCCAGUCAUCCCACUCUCCUCUGAAUAAUCUGUCCUAAAAUGUUUAACCCCUAAAAUGAAUUCUCUCUCACUACUCCUACAUGCUUCUGAACUAAUUCCCCACAAUGUCGACUGUGUCUCUUCUGAGGGAAGACAAAUUCACUUUACCAUGACCUAAAGGCAAAUAUAAUUCAGAAAGAGAGCCUUCUGCCUGUAACACUGCCCACCAAAGGAAAGCAUCAAUGGCAAUCUGGAUAGCUAUUCCACAACACAGCUCCCCUCCAUCAGUGGGCAGGUAAAGGUCAACAUGAACUGAGCACAGAACAAAGAGCUAAGCUGUGACCAAUGUAUUUUCUUAUGGAGAAUAUUCCAGCUUCUAAGUUCAUUACAAUAAACAUAUUAUUGAUUUGAUGUUA